Molecule: ribosomal RNA, 2896 nt
Filed under: Escherichia albertii
Lineage: Bacteria; Pseudomonadati; Pseudomonadota; Gammaproteobacteria; Enterobacterales; Enterobacteriaceae
Description: partial 23S ribosomal RNA
Rfam family: Bacterial large subunit ribosomal RNA
Source: RNAcentral
GGUUAAGCGACUAAGCGUACACGGUGGAUGCCCUGGCAGUCAGAGGCGAUGAAGGACGUGCUAAUCUGCGAAAAGCGUCGGUAAGGUGAUAUGAACCGUUAUAACCGGCGAUGUCCGAAUGGGGAAACCCAGUGUGUUUCGACACACUAUCAUUAACUGAAUCCAUAGGUUAAUGAGGCGAACCGGGGGAACUGAAACAUCUAAGUACCCCGAGGAAAAGAAAUCAACCGAGAUUCCCCCAGUAGCGGCGAGCGAACGGGGAGGAGCCCAGAGCCUGAAUCAGUGUGUGUGUUAGUGGAAGCGUCUGGAAAGGCGCGCGAUACAGGGUGACAGCCCCGUACACAAAAAUGCACAUGCUGUGAGCUCGAUGAGUAGGGCGGGACACGUGGUAUCCUGUCUGAAUAUGGGGGGACCAUCCUCCAAGGCUAAAUACUCCUGACUGACCGAUAGUGAACCAGUACCGUGAGGGAAAGGCGAAAAGAACCCCGGCGAGGGGAGUGAAAAAGAACCUGAAACCGUGUACGUACAAGCAGUGGGAGCCCUGAUUUAUCAGGGUGACUGCGUACCUUUUGUAUAAUGGGUCAGCGACUUAUAUUCUGUAGCAAGGUUAACCGAAUAGGGGAGCCGGAGGGAAACCGAGUCUUAACUGGGCGUUAAGUUGCAGGGUAUAGACCCGAAACCCGGUGAUCUAGCCAUGGGCAGGUUGAAGGUUGGGUAACACUAACUGGAGGACCGAACCGACUAAUGUUGAAAAAUUAGCGGAUGACUUGUGGCUGGGGGUGAAAGGCCAAUCAAACCGGGAGAUAGCUGGUUCUCCCCGAAAGCUAUUUAGGUAGCGCCUCGUGAAUUCAUCUCCGGGGGUAGAGCACUGUUUCGGCAAGGGGGUCAUCCCGACUUACCAACCCGAUGCAAACUGCGAAUACCGGAGAAUGUUAUCACGGGAGACACACGGCGGGUGCUAACGUCCGUCGUGAAGAGGGAAACAACCCAGACCGCCAGCUAAGGUCCCAAAGUCAUGGUUAAGUGGGAAACGAUGUGGGAAGGCCCAGACAGCCAGGAUGUUGGCUUAGAAGCAGCCAUCAUUUAAAGAAAGCGUAAUAGCUCACUGGUCGAGUCGGCCUGCGCGGAAGAUGUAACGGGGCUAAACCAUGCACCGAAGCUGCGGCAGCGACACUGUGUGUUGUUGGGUAGGGGAGCGUUCUGUAAGCCUGCGAAGGUGUGCUGUGAGGUAUGCUGGAGGUAUCAGAAGUGCGAAUGCUGACAUAAGUAACGAUAAAGCGGGUGAAAAGCCCGCUCGCCGGAAGACCAAGGGUUCCUGUCCAACGUUAAUCGGGGCAGGGUGAGUCGACCCCUAAGGCGAGGCCGAAAGGCGUAGUCGAUGGGAAACAGGUUAAUAUUCCUGUACUUGGUGUUACUGCGAAGGGGGGACGGAGAAGGCUAUGUUGGCCGGGCGACGGUUGUCCCGGUUUAAGCGUGUAGGCUGGUUUUCCAGGCAAAUCCGGAGAAUCAAGGCUGAGGCGUGAUGACGAGGCACUACGGUGCUGAAGCGACAAAUGCCCUGCUUCCAGGAAAAGCCUCUAAGCAUCAGGUAACAUCAAAUCGUACCCCAAACCGACACAGGUGGUCAGGUAGAGAAUACCAAGGCGCUUGAGAGAACUCGGGUGAAGGAACUAGGCAAAAUGGUGCCGUAACUUCGGGAGAAGGCACGCUGAUAUGUAGGUGAAGCGACUUGCUCGUGGAGCUGAAAUCAGUCGAAGAUACCAGCUGGCUGCAACUGUUUAUUAAAAACACAGCACUGUGCAAACACGAAAGUGGACGUAUACGGUGUGACGCCUGCCCGGUGCCGGAAGGUUAAUUGAUGGGGUCAGCGCAAGCGAAGCUCUUGAUCGAAGCCCCGGUAAACGGCGGCCGUAACUAUAACGGUCCUAAGGUAGCGAAAUUCCUUGUCGGGUAAGUUCCGACCUGCACGAAUGGCGUAAUGAUGGCCAGGCUGUCUCCACCCGAGACUCAGUGAAAUUGAACUCGCUGUGAAGAUGCAGUGUACCCGCGGCAAGACGGAAAGACCCCGUGAACCUUUACUAUAGCUUGACACUGAACACUGGUCCUUGAUGUGUAGGAUAGGUGGGAGGCUUUGAAGUGUGGACGCCAGUCUGCAUGGAGCCGUCCUUGAAAUACCACCCUUUAAUGGCUGGUGUUCUAACGUGGGCCCGUAAUCCGGGUUGCGGACAGUGUCUGGUGGGUAGUUUGACUGGGGCGGUCUCCUCCUAAAGAGUAACGGAGGAGCACGAAGGUUGGCUAAUCCUGGUCGGACAUCAGGAGGUUAGUGCAAUGGCAUAAGCCAGCUUGACUGCGAGCGUGACGGCGCGAGCAGGUGCGAAAGCAGGUCAUAGUGAUCCGGUGGUUCUGAAUGGAAGGGCCAUCGCUCAACGGAUAAAAGGUACUCCGGGGAUAACAGGCUGAUACCGCCCAAGAGUUCAUAUCGACGGCGGUGUUUGGCACCUCGAUGUCGGCUCAUCACAUCCUGGGGCUGAAGUAGGUCCCAAGGGUAUGGCUGUUCGCCAUUUAAAGUGGUACGCGAGCUGGGUUUAGAACGUCGUGAGACAGUUCGGUCCCUAUCUGCCGUGGGCGCUGGAGAACUGAGGGGGGCUGCUCCUAGUACGAGAGGACCGGAGUGGACGCAUCACUGGUGUUCGGGUUGUCAUGCCAAUGGCACUGCCCGGUAGCUAAAUGCGGAAGAGAUAAGUGCUGAAAGCAUCUAAGCACGAAACUUGCCCCGAGAUGAGUUCUCCCUGAGACUUAGAGUCUCCUGAAGGAACGUUGAAGACGACGACGUUGAUAGGCCGGGUGUGUAAGCGCAGCGAUGCGUUGAGCUAACCGGUACUAAUGAACCGUGAGG